Molecule: ribosomal RNA, 649 nt
Filed under: uncultured bacterium
Lineage: Bacteria
Description: bacterial SSU rRNA
Rfam family: Bacterial small subunit ribosomal RNA
Source: RNAcentral
AUUGAACGCUGGCGGCGUGCUUAACACAUGCAAGUCGAGCGGUAACAGGCGUAGCAAUACGUGCUGACGAGCGGCGAACGGGUGCGUAAUACAUGGGAAUCUGCCCUUUGGUGGGGAAUAACCCGGCGAAAGCCGGGCUAAUGCCGCAUGAGAUCUUUGGAUGAAAGCGGGGGAUCGUAAGACCUCGCGCCGAUGGAUGAGCCCAUGUCGGAUUAGCUUGUUGGUGAGGUAACGGCUCACCAAGGCGACGAUCCGUAGCUGGUCUGAGAGGACGGCCAGCCACACUGGGACUGAGACACGGCCCAGACUCCUACGGGAGGCAGCAGUGGGGAAUAUUGGACAAUGGGCGAAAGCCUGAUCCAGCGACGCCGCGUGUGUGAAGAAGGCCUGCGGGUUGUAAAGCACUUUCGAUGGGAACGAAAUGUGCCGGGUUAAUACCCCGGCAAGCUGACGUUACUCAAUGAAGAAGCACCGGCUAACCCUGUGCCAGCAGCCGCGGUAAUACAGAGGGUGCGAGCGUUAAUCGGAAUUACUGGGCGUAAAGCGCACGUAGGUGGCGACGUAAGUCGGGUGUGAAAGCCCCGGGCUCAACCUGGGAAUUGCAUUCGAGACUGUGUUGCUGGAGUACGGAAGAGGAGGGCGGAAUUCC